Dromiciops gliroides (monito del monte) is the source of this 106-nucleotide small nuclear RNA. The record is from RefSeq and is a predicted model, not a curated record. NCBI's taxonomy places the organism in Eukaryota, Metazoa, Chordata, Mammalia, Microbiotheria, Microbiotheriidae.
UUGCUUUGGCAGCACAUCUACAAAAAAUGAAAACGAUACAGAAAAGAUUAGCAUGACCCCUGCACAAGGUUUAGACACACAUUCAUGCACAAAAAAUCAAAUACAU